This 21-nucleotide microRNA is filed under the name Mus musculus (house mouse). Its description in RNAcentral is "mmu-miR-488-5p". Its record names the gene mmu-miR-488-5p. The record is from miRBase by way of RNAcentral. Lineage: Eukaryota; Metazoa; Chordata; Mammalia; Rodentia; Muridae.
CCCAGAUAAUAGCACUCUCAA